Molecule: Y RNA, 96 nt
Filed under: Carlito syrichta (Philippine tarsier)
Lineage: Eukaryota; Metazoa; Chordata; Mammalia; Primates; Tarsiidae
Description: Y RNA (ENSTSYG00000024421.2)
Rfam family: Y RNA
About the family: Y RNAs are components of the Ro ribonucleoprotein particle (Ro RNP), in association with Ro60 and La proteins. The Y RNAs and Ro60 and La proteins are well conserved, but the function of the Ro RNP is not known.
Source: Rfam by way of RNAcentral
GGUUGGUCUGAAGCUAGUGUGUUAUCUCAACUGGAUUGCUCAUGGUCGGUUACAGACCCUUUCUCUCUUUUCACUAUCGCACUUGACUAGUCUUUA